AGUUUUUGUAGGUUUAUAUUUGAUGUUAAUGUUCUCGGUAAUCCUACGCAUGAAGCGUUUGAUCGAGACUAUAUUUUUUGUGCUGGUCAAAGCGCUAUAAAUCUCUUUGUUUGAAAGAUCUAUUGGCACGUGACUAAUAACGCCAGUUGUUUCUGUUGCGGCAGCUGGUAUACUAGCGUAGAGUUUUUCGUUAUCCAGAAACUUUUUAUUGCUAAGAGCUGCAUUAGCCAAAGCUGGUCUCUCAAAUAUCACUCCUACUUUUGCUUUGUUGAUUCUUUUUGUUUUACGCCUUUAUUGUAUCGUUUUAUUGCGUUGGCGAGUGACAUUAUAUGUCUCGAGCCAAUUGGUUUGUCUUUGUCAGUGCUUUCUAGAAAGACAGUAUAUUCGAAAUUGCCACCAUCUUCAGGAUAGAAACGGACAUAAUUCGGUAAUUUAAAUGAAAUAUACUUAUCAGUAUCUUCCUCAGAAAUGAUGGAGUCCGACUCAGAGUCCCGCACCGCGGCGCUUUCCUCGGAGUCUCCCUCGACAUCUUCUUUUUUCUUACGCCUUUUUCUACCGCGGGACAUCGCGGCAACAAUCACACUUUAUAACCUACCCCAGCACCUAAGCGUCCUAAUGAAGAUGAACUUGGAGUUUCUGAUGAGGAAAGUGUACGUUCGAAAAAAAGGACGUCGACGAGCAGUCGGUUCGGAAUUGGAAAGAUCUGCAAAGAUCCCAACCAUCAUCAUCUACCCAAAGAACCUGCUAUAACUGACAAUUUGUAGAAAAUGUUGUUACAGAGGAGUUAACGGAUGUUGAUAUAUAGCAUGAGAGUGAGGAAGGUGCAGAGGAACUAAUCAAUGCUUUAGCUGAUGCAGAGUGUUCAUCUGUACUCUUACAUAAUUUGGCUCGUCUUGAUGAACUAGUGCCAGAUGAGAGAGAUGCUGUACAUAAUACUUUAGGGAUAGUUAAAAAUAUAACUGAGUUUCGUCCUGAAUUAUGGGUUCAAGAUGCAAAACAAGGUUUCAUUCAGUGGAUUUUUAAGAGGUUGAAGGUAGAAAAAAUAUGUUUACUUUCUAUGGUAGAACUUGGGAUU
This is a long non-coding RNA of Pieris rapae (cabbage white), 1075 nucleotides long. RefSeq lists it as uncharacterized. The transcript has 4 exons. Lineage: Eukaryota; Metazoa; Arthropoda; Insecta; Lepidoptera; Pieridae. The record is from RefSeq and is a predicted model, not a curated record.